This 458-nucleotide ribosomal RNA is filed under the name uncultured bacterium. RNAcentral's name for it is "partial 16S ribosomal RNA". It matches the Rfam family "Bacterial small subunit ribosomal RNA", at positions 338 to 795 of the family's 1533-position model. The record is from RNAcentral.
CCUACGGGCGGCAGCAGUGGGGAAUAUUGCACAAUGGGGGAAACCCUGAUGCAGCGACGCCGCGUGAGUGAAGAAGUAAUUCGUUACGUAAAGCUCUGUCAGCAGGGAAGAAAUACUGACCUUACGGUCAGCAGACGGUAUCUGAGUCAGAAGCCCCGGCUAACUACGUGCCAGCAGCCGCGGUAAUAAGUAGGGGGCAAGCGUUAUCCGGAUUUACUGGGUGUAAAGGGGGCGUAGACGGUGCGGCAAGUCUGGAGUGAAAUGCCGCAGCUUAACUGCGGAACUGCUGUUGAAACUGGCGAACUAGAGUGCGGGAGGGGUAAGCGGAAUUCCUAGUGUAGCGGUGAAAUGCGUAGAUAUUAGGAGGAACACCGGUGGCGAAGGCGGCUUACUGGACCGUAACUGACGUUGAGGCUCGAAAGCGUGGGGAGCAAACAGGAUUAGAUACCCUAGUAGUC